UACGAAGGGGGCUAGCGUUGCUCGGAAUUACUGGGCGUAAAGCGCACGUAGGCGGCUUUCUAAGUCGGGGGUGAAAUCCUGGAGCUCAACUCCAGAACUGCCUUCGAUACUGGAGAGCUUGAGUCCGGGAGAGGUGAGUGGAAUUCCCAGUGUAGAGGUGAAAUUCGUAGAUAUUGGGAAGAACACCAGUGGCGAAGGCGGCUCACUGGCCCGUAACUGACGCUGAGGUGCGAAAGCGUGGGGAGCAAACAGG
Molecule: ribosomal RNA, 253 nt
Filed under: uncultured bacterium
Lineage: Bacteria
Description: partial 16S ribosomal RNA
Rfam family: Bacterial small subunit ribosomal RNA
Source: RNAcentral